CAAGAAGGUUCCAACUGUAUCUGUCACAAUCUUAAUGCUCCAGACUAACCUGAUUUAUCAUCAUAAAGCUAAACCAUCACACCUGAAGGAUUACCGAAUCUAAGAACAAUGAGAGAGAAUGUGGAACGUCCAUUCUAAUUGUUUCGCUAUAAUUUAGAGCUGAGUGAAAUCUUUUGUAAAGAGGAGCAUCUCAAAGGGAAAUGCUGGUACAAAUUUUGCUACUGUUCAUCAAAGUAUCCCUUGAUGCCAUCUGACUUAGUGACCUCCCACAACACUGAAGUGUGGAAGGUGGCAACACUCAUCACAACAACGAGUGCAGCUUGAAAUUUGAAAAACAGUAAUGCGGCACGAGUUUGACACCAACAAAAUG
Molecule: long non-coding RNA, 370 nt
Organism: Mauremys reevesii (Reeves's turtle)
Lineage: Eukaryota; Metazoa; Chordata; Testudines; Geoemydidae
Exons: 3
Source: RefSeq, a predicted model, not a curated record